RNAcentral lists this ribosomal RNA (253 nucleotides) under uncultured bacterium. Its description in RNAcentral is "partial 16S ribosomal RNA". It matches the Rfam family "Bacterial small subunit ribosomal RNA", at positions 524 to 776 of the family's 1533-position model. The record is from RNAcentral.
UACGUAGGUGGCAAGCGUUAUCCGGAAUUAUUGGGCGUAAAGGGAGCGUAGGCGGACUUUUAAGUGAGAUGUGAAAUACUCGGGCUCAACUUGAGUGCUGCAUUUCAAACUGGAAGUCUAGAGUGCAGGAGAGGAGAAUGGAAUUCCUAGUGUAGCGGUGAAAUGCGUAGAGAUUAGGAAGAACACCAGUGGCGAAGGCGGUUCUCUGGACUGUAACUGACGCUGAGGCUCGAAAGCGUGGGGAGCAAACAGG